RNAcentral lists this ribosomal RNA (249 nucleotides) under uncultured bacterium. Its description in RNAcentral is "partial 16S ribosomal RNA". It matches the Rfam family "Bacterial small subunit ribosomal RNA", at positions 85 to 334 of the family's 1533-position model. The record is from RNAcentral.
AAGAUGGCGACCGGCGCACGGGUGAGUAGCACGUAUCCAACCUGCCGAUAACUCCGGAAUAGCCUUUCGAAAGAAAGAUUAAUACCGGAUGGCAUACGAAUAUCGCAUGAUAUUUUUAUUUAAAGAAUUUCGGUUAUCGAUGGGGAUGCGUUCCAUUAGUUUGUUGGCGGGGUAACGGCCCACCAAGACUACGAUGGAUAGGGGUUCUGAGAGGAAGGUCCCCCACAUUGGAACUGAGACACGGUCCAA